RNAcentral lists this ribosomal RNA (1373 nucleotides) under Vibrio parahaemolyticus. RNAcentral describes it as "bacterial SSU rRNA". It matches the Rfam family "Bacterial small subunit ribosomal RNA", at positions 65 to 1423 of the family's 1533-position model. Lineage: Bacteria; Pseudomonadati; Pseudomonadota; Gammaproteobacteria; Vibrionales; Vibrionaceae. The record is from RNAcentral.
AACGAGUUAUCAGAACCUUCGGGGAACGAUAACGGCGUCGAGCGGCGGACGGGUGAGUAAUGCCUAGGAAAUUGCCCUGAUGUGGGGGAUAACCAUUGGAAACGAUGGCUAAUACCGCAUGAUGCCUACGGGCCAAAGAGGGGGACCUUCGGGCCUCUCGCGUCAGGAUAUGCCUAGGUGGGAUUAGCUAGUUGGUGAGGUAAGGGCUCACCAAGGCGACGAUCCCUAGCUGGUCUGAGAGGAUGAUCAGCCACACUGGAACUGAGACACGGUCCAGACUCCUACGGGAGGCAGCAGUGGGGAAUAUUGCACAAUGGGCGCAAGCCUGAUGCAGCCAUGCCGCGUGUGUGAAGAAGGCCUUCGGGUUGUAAAGCACUUUCAGUCGUGAGGAAGGCGGUGUAGUUAAUAGCUGCAUCGUUUGACGUUAGCGACAGAAGAAGCACCGGCUAACUCCGUGCCAGCAGCCGCGGUAAUACGGAGGGUGCGAGCGUUAAUCGGAAUUACUGGGCGUAAAGCGCAUGCAGGUGGUUUGUUAAGUCAGAUGUGAAAGCCCGGGGCUCAACCUCGGAAUUGCAUUUGAAACUGGCAGACUAGAGUACUGUAGAGGGGGGUAGAAUUUCAGGUGUAGCGGUGAAAUGCGUAGAGAUCUGAAGGAAUACCGGUGGCGAAGGCGGCCCCCUGGACAGAUACUGACACUCAGAUGCGAAAGCGUGGGGAGCAAACAGGAUUAGAUACCCUGGUAGUCCACGCCGUAAACGAUGUCUACUUGGAGGUUGUGGCCUUGAGCCGUGGCUUUCGGAGCUAACGCGUUAAGUAGACCGCCUGGGGAGUACGGUCGCAAGAUUAAAACUCAAAUGAAUUGACGGGGGCCCGCACAAGCGGUGGAGCAUGUGGUUUAAUUCGAUGCAACGCGAAGAACCUUACCUACUCUUGACAUCCAGAGAACUUUCCAGAGAUGGAUUGGUGCCUUCGGGAACUCUGAGACAGGUGCUGCAUGGCUGUCGUCAGCUCGUGUUGUGAAAUGUUGGGUUAAGUCCCGCAACGAGCGCAACCCUUAUCCUUGUUUGCCAGCGAGUAAUGUCGGGAACUCCAGGGAGACUGCCGGUGAUAAACCGGAGGAAGGUGGGGACGACGUCAAGUCAUCAUGGCCCUUACGAGUAGGGCUACACACGUGCUACAAUGGCGCAUACAGAGGGCGGCCAACUUGCGAAAGUGAGCGAAUCCCAAAAAGUGCGUCGUAGUCCGGAUUGGAGUCUGCAACUCGACUCCAUGAAGUCGGAAUCGCUAGUAAUCGUGGAUCAGAAUGCCACGGUGAAUACGUUCCCGGGCCUUGUACACACCGCCCGUCACACCAUGGGAGUGGGCUGCAAAAG